CCAGCCGCCUUUUCUCCGCGGCUGCUGCGGGUUGGUUUUUUCUGCGUCUGACGCUGGUAGCCGGUGGUAAAGGCAAGCGAGCUAGUGCCUUUGUCCAGUUUGGAAGAUGUUUUCGGGGAGCUUAACUGGCGGGCGGCGGGUGGCCGCCCCCGUGGGCUUCGGGCGGCCGCCGUGGCGGGGACUGGAGACUGGCGGGGCCGCGCCACGCUGCCGGGCCGCGGCGGCGGGCGCGUGCUUGUCCCGCAGGCCCGCCGCUCCCCGGAGCCUGAGGUCGCCGAAGGCCGGGGCCCCUUGGCCUGGGCUCGUCGUUGGGAGUGAGCAGAUCCGAGAGAACUCGCAGACCCACUGAAGAGUGCCGAGGGGGAGCAGCGCCGCGCCCUGCGGUUGCAAAUGAAGGAAGAGCUGGCAAGAGCGGAGGACUGCAGUGAGGAGCAUUGGCCUGCCAUGAGGCUCUGAGAGCUCAAGAAUGGUGACCAGGGCAGGCCAAAGCUGGUGAUGGUGGCAGCAGCACAGCUUACCUUGGAAAGAGGCUGUUUUUCCAGAGGAUGGUCAGCCAUGCUGCAGCAGGGGCAGAAUUUGAAGUUCCAAGGACCAGUGGUCAGUCAUCAUCAAUUUGGACUCCACACAGAAACCUAGGCCUCAACAUUCGGUGUAGAAAGGCUCACCUUGCCUCGGCUGGUUUUGUGCAGUGGGUAGAGCAUCGGCCUGCAGACUGAAGGGUCCCAGGUUCGAUUCCAGUCAAGGGCACAUGCCCAGGUUGCAGGCUUGAAUCCCCAGUGGGGGGUGUGCAGGAGGCAGCUGACCAAUGAUUCUUAUUAAUGUUUCUCUCUCUCCCUCUAAAAUCAAUAAAAAUACAUUUU
Molecule: long non-coding RNA, 860 nt
Organism: Eptesicus fuscus (big brown bat)
Lineage: Eukaryota; Metazoa; Chordata; Mammalia; Chiroptera; Vespertilionidae
Exons: 5
Source: RefSeq, a predicted model, not a curated record